ACCUUAUCAGCUGCCACAGAGAGGGAAGAUGCAGAGAGGCCUGCUGAAAGCCAUGCUGGAAAUUACAAUGGGGAAGAAGGUCCAUCAACCUCCACAGCACAGCUUACCUCACUCCCUGUGAAACAACUUUACAAGGUAUAUUUAGAAUCUCAAAUAAACAAAUCACACCUAGAAAUGGAGCACAUAAGGCUGCAGAUCACCAAAACAGAAAAGGAAAUACAACUGCUGGACCAUCAGUUAAAGGUGGGUGACGUGCCCA
Molecule: long non-coding RNA, 259 nt
Organism: Limanda limanda (common dab)
Lineage: Eukaryota; Metazoa; Chordata; Actinopteri; Pleuronectiformes; Pleuronectidae
Exons: 3
Source: RefSeq, a predicted model, not a curated record